AUUGAACGCUGGCGGCAUGCCUUACACAUGCAAGUCGAACGGCAGCACGGGUGCUUGCUCCUGGUGGCGAGUGGCGAACGGGUGAGUAAUACAUCGGAACAUGUCCUGUAGCGGGGGAUAGCCCGGCGAAAGCCGGAUUAAUACCGCAUACGAUCUACGGAUGACAGCGGGGGACCUUCGGGCCUUGCGCUAUAGGGUUGGCCGCUGGCUGAUUAGCUAGUUGGUGGGGUAAAGGCCUACCAAGGCGACGAUCAGUAGCUGGUGUGAGAGGACGACCGGCGACAUGGGAGCUGAGACACGGCCAAGACUACUACGAGAGGCAGCAGUGGGGUAUUUUAGACAGUAGUCGGAAGCCUGGUCCAGCAAUGCGGCGUGUGAGAAAGAGGCCUUCGGGUUGUAAAGCACUUUUGUCCGGAAAGAAAUCCUUGGCCCUGAUACGAUGGGGGGGUGACGGUAACGGGUGAAUAAGCACCGGCUAACUACGUG
This 486-nucleotide ribosomal RNA is filed under the name uncultured bacterium. RNAcentral's name for it is "partial 16S ribosomal RNA". It matches the Rfam family "Bacterial small subunit ribosomal RNA", at positions 30 to 507 of the family's 1533-position model. The record is from RNAcentral.